This 72-nucleotide transfer RNA is filed under the name Rhipicephalus microplus (southern cattle tick). Its description in RNAcentral is "tRNA-Glu". It matches the Rfam family "tRNA". Rfam says of the family: Transfer RNA (tRNA) molecules are approximately 80 nucleotides in length. Their secondary structure includes four short double-helical elements and three loops (D, anti-codon, and T loops). Further hydrogen bonds mediate the characteristic L-shaped molecular structure. tRNAs have two regions of fundamental functional importance: the anti-codon, which is responsible for specific mRNA codon recognition, and the 3' end, to which the tRNAs corresponding amino acid is attached (by aminoacyl-tRNA synthetases). tRNAs cope with the degeneracy of the genetic code in two manners: having more than one tRNA (with a specific anti-codon) for a particular amino acid; and 'wobble' base-pairing, i.e. permitting non-standard base-pairing at the 3rd anti-codon position. Lineage: Eukaryota; Metazoa; Arthropoda; Arachnida; Ixodida; Ixodidae. The record is from Rfam by way of RNAcentral.
UCCGGCGUAGUCUAGUGGUUAGGCUACCUGGCUUUCACCCAGGAGACCCGGGUUCGAAUCCCGGCGUCGGAA